AGGACUACAGGUACCUACCUUUACGGCACCCGUCGCGUUCCUCGUUCUUGCUGACUUGGUAAAUUGGUGCUUCCAAUCAGUGUAUAUUCACGUACAAAUAAACUAUUGAGCAUUAUUUUUUUAUCAUUGAUAUUCGCGUCGCAAUGGUAAAGUAUUGGACCAAGACUAAAACCUUGAAUGUUUAGCAAAUUAAUGUUAUGUCUUCAUAUUAAUUUAAUUUUAAUUAGGAAUAUUUAAUUUUAUAUACAAUAGAUAAGUUUACUUUCCCUUUUUUUUACAUAUUUGAUUAUAUAUGCAUUGUUCGGGUUAAAAAAAUCAACAUGUUAAUACAUACUCCC
This 338-nucleotide long non-coding RNA is filed under the name Setaria viridis. Its description in RNAcentral is "long non-coding RNA (SVIR_LNC000946)". The record is from RNAcentral. Lineage: Eukaryota; Viridiplantae; Streptophyta; Magnoliopsida; Poales; Poaceae.